GCGCAGUGCGCGCGCCCGCCGCCCCUCCCCUCGCCGACACGUGCGCCAGCCGCGGCAGACGAGGCCACGCCCCCUCCGUGACCACAGAUGUAGACGGCCACGCCCCCAGUUGCGCCGGCCCCGCCUCCACACGACUGCAACAGAUUUAAAACCCUUCUCCACCGACAUCCCGGAGCCUCACCCCGGAUUCGCACCCAGGCCCCACAGUCCGCACCGCCCCCGGCCGCCCUUCUCCCGCCCGGCAGUGCCUCCCCAGCUCCGGGCCGAGGGCCACCACUCGCCCCGAAGGUACCGGGGCAAUGAAAUGCCCGGUACGGCGUUCUGAGGCCGGGCCGGUUUUGGGGAACGCGCCUGCAGCUCCCUAACCCCGCGGGUCCCACGGCUCCGCUUGGAGCUGCUGCCCCCGCCCAGCCCAGCGCCCCUUGCCCGGACCGGGAUCCCAUUGCCGCUGGCACCGGGAUCCCACCCCCGGCGGGACCAGAGCGGCGCCGGCUCUGGCGGCAGGCAACGGGCACCCCGGCCCCGCCGGGCUCUGCGCGACCUGCAGCGACACUCAGAGGCCGCUCCGCCGCCACCGGGGCUGCCGGGCCCGGCUCCGGCCGCGGAGAGCGGAGUCGCCCCCGGGGGGACCCUGUGGCCCAGGAGCUGCUGCCAGCAGCAGCGAGCAAAGCUCGGGCACGUCCCGGCCCGGCGCUAAUGACUCAAAUUAAUUUUUAUUCGUUUGUACCUAUUUAUGCCCUGCCCCGGACCUGAGGCUGCCAAUCCCACUCCCGCAGCAGAGAAAUCUCAAAAAAGACCCCAAAAUCUCCCAUGAGGACAGACCUGCCCCAAAAACCUGCCUGACCAUCAGAGCACAUUUAACCCGCUGUGGGAGCUGGUUCUGGGGGGUGAUCAGGGCUCUCUCCUCUCAAACCAUGGGGACAGUGACAGCCCAGCCUGGACACUGCUGGCACUGACAAUUCCCUUUGUCCAUUAAAAGAUCCCAGAUCCAA
Haemorhous mexicanus (house finch) is the source of this 992-nucleotide long non-coding RNA. RefSeq lists it as uncharacterized. The transcript has 2 exons. The record is from RefSeq and is a predicted model, not a curated record. NCBI's taxonomy places the organism in Eukaryota, Metazoa, Chordata, Aves, Passeriformes, Fringillidae.